This 1683-nucleotide long non-coding RNA is filed under the name Cavia porcellus (domestic guinea pig). Its description in RNAcentral is "lncRNA (ENSCPOG00000030090.1)". The record is from RNAcentral. Lineage: Eukaryota; Metazoa; Chordata; Mammalia; Rodentia; Caviidae.
ACAUUGGUCGGUCACAGUAUUUUCCUUAACAACUCCAUAUUUUUGGCAAAUUUCUGUAAACUUAUCCUUGAAUUCUGAAACCACACUUAGUCCUUGGUCAACUUCCUGUUGACAUUCUUGAAAUGAAAAUCUAGUCAGUAUAAACUGUGUCAAAUAUACUAAAUAUAUUUGUCAUACUGAACAGUUUCAGUACAUUCUCCAUUUACAAUUGUAUGGAAUUUAAAAAGUAAGGAAGACUUUGCCAAGGGAUAGGUGUUUUCUUCUGUUUUUUCCUCUUAGUCAAAGGCCCCUAGGCUGCAAUACAACUCUGGAAUCUAACCUCAUAUACAUAUAGUGAAAGUACAGUGGUCAGGCACUCCUCCUUAUUGCCAUGUUAUCUAGCAAGUAGAGACCUAAGAAGGCAGAGUAGCCUGUGGAAAACAGUUCAUCCUGACUAAAAAGUUGUCUUUAUCCAUGCCAGGGACAGGGUAUAUGACUCUCAUCUUGGGUUGGGCCAGGAGACACCCCUGGGGAGGGUAGAGGUUGGGUGUGCUAGAGAUGUGUAUUACUUGGUUAUGGUUUAUGGCCUCUUUCUACCACCAAUUUUGGUAUUUUUGUUUUUUGGUUUCUUGGUUUGGUUUGUUUUUUAUGUAGUUCAGACUGACUUUGGACUCUCUAUAUAGCCCAGAUUGGCCUCAAACUUGUGGUGAUCUUCCUGCCUCAGCCCCUGGGAUUACAGAGUGCUGAAUAAUACACACUUUGUAAAAUAUGGAUGAAGAACCUGAAAGAACUAAGCGAUGGGAAGGAGGCUAUGAGGGAGCUUGCUUUUGAGGAAGAAUCAGAUAAGCCAUCAGCAGUAAUCGCAGUACCUGGUAUAGAAGGACGAAUCUGCCAUAUUUUCCAGCACAUGAAAGAACACUUACAUCAAGUUAGAAUUGCAAGAAAACAGAGUUUCAGAGUUUUACCAACCAUUAGUGAUACUGCAUCUGAAAAUUCUGAUUCUAAUUGAAAUAUAAUAUAGGUAACAUGUUUCAUCUGUAAAUGCCAAAAUGAAUCUGGUCAACUAACAUACAAUUUGCAUUGCUAAAUAUAGUAAUAUAAUCGACAGUGUUAUAGAAUUGAUGUUGAUACUAGCAAUACUGCACUACAUGUUCAUUUUAUUUGAUUCUUAUCAUGUCUUAUAGCUUUUGACUCUCAGAUGUAUGACUUUAGGAAACAAUAUAGGUACAAUUUUGAAUAUGUUUUUGAUUUAAAUAUAUAUAAUGUAUGUUUCCAGAUUAAACGAGUUGCAUGCUUACUUUUCCACAAUAAUUUAUAUGUUGUUUUUCCUUUUAAUCUUGCUUUGCUUAUGUUUUCUAUCUGAAUGAAAUAUAGACACACAUAUACAUAUAUAUGUAUAUAUAUAGGAAUAUUUGUAUUUAUAUGUAUGUAUAUACUUUUCCUUCCAUUGUUGCCUUAAAAUCACCUUAUUUCACUAUUAUGAUUCUGAUUUGGAUCAGAAUAAGGAAAAAUAAAGUAAAUAUCUAAUACUGAUCUUGACUGUUCUUUUGUAACAUAAAUGAGAUUGUAAAGUAUAGCAAAGGAAUAAUAAAAACUUUAUUUAAAGAUGUCCUGAAUUUUCAUCUUAAUGAAAUAUACCAUGUAUUUUUAUGCAGUUUAAUUACUUAUCCUUUCAAUAAAAGCAGUAUUUCUUACCAAAAAAAG